This is a long non-coding RNA of Cornus florida, 441 nucleotides long. RefSeq lists it as uncharacterized. The transcript is spliced from 2 exons. The record is from RefSeq and is a predicted model, not a curated record. Lineage: Eukaryota; Viridiplantae; Streptophyta; Magnoliopsida; Cornales; Cornaceae.
UUCUUUUCUUUCUCUUUCCCGUAUGCUCUCUCUCCCUCUCGGUUCCUUCUCUUUUUCUUUCAUUUUGGAGACAAAAACUUUGAGGUUUGAUUACUCAAUCAUCUUUCAUCGGAUUUAGGAACCGUUUAAAGCGAAACGAAGCUUGUAGCGAACUCUACGCAUCCAUACUAUCAAUUUCCAGAUUUGAGUCUUCCUUGGAGCUUGAAUUUGGAGGACCUAUUCUAGGGAUUUCGGCUUGGAUUGUGAGGUCUUGGAAAGGAACUGGUGAAUGACAACCCACCUCAAGCUUGAACGGCGUUAGAAGUCCACUUUUGUAUCUUUCUAUAUUCCCCAUUAUUUUGUAAAACACUAGAAGUGCAAAGAUGUAUAAUUAUUUUGUGGAACUUUGUCAUGUAAUAUAACUAAAGUAUUGAUGAUGUUUUGGAUGGGGAUUUGAUACUA